UAAGCCGUUGAAGGUGAAUCGUAAGGUUUGCUGGAGGUAUCAGAAGUGCGAAUGCUGACAUGAGUAACGACAAAGGGGGUGAAAAACCUCCUCGCCGGAAGACCAAGGGUUCCUGUCCAACGUUAAUCGGGGCAGGGUGAGUCGACCCCUAAGGUGAGGCCGAAAGGCGUAAUCGAUGGGAAACGGGUUAAUAUUCCCGUACUUCUGACUAUUGCGAUGGGGGGACGGAGAAGGCUAGGUGGGCCAGGCGACGGUUGUCCUGGUUCAAGUGCGUAGGCUUGAGAGUUAGGUAAAUCCGGCUCUCUCUAAGGCUGAGACACGACGUCGAGCUGCUACGGCAGUGAAGUCAUUGAUGCCAUGCUUCCAGGAAAAGCCUCUAAGCUUCAGAUAGUCAGGAAUCGUACCCCAAACCGACACAGGUGGUCGGGUAGAGAAUACCAAGGCGCUUGAGAGAACUCGGGUGAAGGAACUAGGCAAAAUGGUACCGUAACUUCGGGAGAAGGUACGCUCUUGAUGGUGAAGUCCCUCGCGGAUGGAGCUGACGAGAGUCGCAGAUACCAGGUGGCUGCAACUGUUUAUUAAAAACACAGCACUGUGCAAAAUCGCAAGAUGACGUAUACGGUGUGACGCCUGCCCGGUGCCGGAAGGUUAAUUGAUGGGGUUAGCGCAAGCGAAGCUCUUGAUCGAAGCCCCGGUAAACGGCGGCCGUAACUAUAACGGUCCUAAGGUAGCGAAAUUCCUUGUCGGGUAAGUUCCGACCUGCACGAAUGGCGUAAUGAUGGCCACGCUGUCUCCACCCGAGACUCAGUGAAAUUGAAAUCGCUGUGAAGAUGCAGUGUACCCGCGGCUAGACGGAAAGACCCCGUGAACCUUUACUACAGCUUGGCACUGAACAUUGAACCUACAUGUGUAGGAUAGGUGGGAGGCUAUGAAGACGUGACGCCAGUUGCGUUGGAGCCGUCCUUGAAAUACCACCCUUGUAUGU
This 985-nucleotide ribosomal RNA is filed under the name Vibrio cholerae. RNAcentral's name for it is "partial 23S ribosomal RNA". It matches the Rfam family "Bacterial large subunit ribosomal RNA", at positions 1243 to 2213 of the family's 2925-position model. The record is from RNAcentral. Lineage: Bacteria; Pseudomonadati; Pseudomonadota; Gammaproteobacteria; Vibrionales; Vibrionaceae.